RNAcentral lists this ribosomal RNA (1452 nucleotides) under uncultured Anaerophaga sp. Its description in RNAcentral is "bacterial SSU rRNA". It matches the Rfam family "Bacterial small subunit ribosomal RNA". The record is from RNAcentral. Lineage: Bacteria; Pseudomonadati; Bacteroidota; Bacteroidia; Marinilabiliales; Marinilabiliaceae.
GCGACGGCCUAACACAUGCAAGUCGAGGGGUAACAUGAGUAGCUUGCUACUUGAUGACNACCGGCGCACGGAUGAGUAACGCGUAUGCAACCCUUCUUCAACAGGAGAAUAGCCCCCGGAAACGGGGAUUAAUGCCCCAUGAUGCUAUUUUAUUGCAUGAUAGAAUAGUUAAAGCUGAGGCGGUUGAAGGUGGGCAUGCGUGACAUUAGCUUGUUGGCGGGGUAACGGCCCACCGAGGCGACGAUGUCUAGGGGUUCUGAGAGGAAGGUCCCCCACACUGGUACUGAGACACGGACCAGACUCCUACGGGAGGCAGCAGUGAGGAAUAUUGGUCAAUGGACGCGAGUCUGAACCAGCCAUGUCGCGUGCAGGAAGACGGCCCUACGGGUUGUAAACUGCUUUUGUACGGGAAGAAAAUGUCUUACGUGUAAGACUUUGCCGGUACCGUACGAAUAAGCAUCGGCUAACUCCGUGCCAGCAGCCGCGGUAAUACGGAGGAUGCGAGCGUUAUCCGGAAUUAUUGGGUUUAAAGGGUGCGUAGGCGGAAUGGUAAGUCAGCGGUGAAAUACUGCAGCUCAACUGUAGUUGUGCCGUUGAUACUGUCAUUCUUGAGUAUAGAUGAGGUAGGCGGAAUGAGUAGUGUAGCGGUGAAAUGCAUAGAUAUUACUCAGAACACCGAUUGCGAAGGCAGCUUACUAAACUAUAACUGACGCUGAAGCACGAAAGCGUGGGUAUCAAACAGGAUUAGAUACCCUGGUAGUCCACGCUGUAAACGAUGAUUACUGGUUGUUUGGGCGAAAGAGCUCAAGCGACUGCGCGAAAGCAUUAAGUAAUCCACCUGGGGAGUACGUCGGCAACGAUGAAACUCAAAGGAAUUGACGGGGGCCCGCACAAGCGGUGGAACAUGUGGUUUAAUUCGAUGAUACGCGAGGAACCUUACCUGGGCUUAAAUGGGGAGUGACAGGGGUAGAAAUACCUUUUUCUUCGGACACUCUUCAAGGUGCUGCAUGGUUGUCGUCAGCUCGUGCCGUGAGGUGUCGGGUUAAGUCCCAUAACGAGCGCAACCCCUGUUGUCAGUUACCAGCACGUAGAGGUGGGGACUCUGGCAAGACUGCCGGUGUAAACCGCGAGGAAGGUGGGGAUGACGUCAAAUCAGCACGGCCCUUAUGUCCAGGGCGACACACGUGCUACAAUGGCCGGUACAGCGGGAAGCGAAGGGGAGACCUGGAGCGGAUCUCUGAAAGCCGGUCCCAGUUCGGAUUGUAGUCUGCAACUCGACUACAUGAAGCUGGAAUCGCUAGUAAUCGCGGAUCAGCCAAGCCGCGGUGAAUACGUUCCCGGGCCUUGUACACACCGCCCGUCACACCCCCCGAGUUGGGUGCACCCGAAGCCGGUGGCCUAACCCUUAAGGGGAGGAGCCGUCGAAGGUGUGCCUGGUAAGGGGGGGAAGUG